UGCCCGCGGGCUGGUCCUGCGCCCAAAGGCGUGGUCCCCGCGCGGCGCCCCGUCCACGGGGUGGAUGCCCCCGCUCGCCCCUCCCCGUUUCCAAGCUCCUUGGUCACUGGACUCCCGUGGCCCAACAAGGCCUUUGGGAAUCCGCUUUUCCUUGUCUUGCCUCUGCUCCCUCCCUGCCCUCCUGCCAGUCCUGUGCCCGCGGAAAGGCCUCCUGCGAUGUGGGCUGACCUACCGCACGCCCGGGUUUCCCAGACACUCCUCUCUUUUGGGGCCCUGGUGCUCAAUCCGGAGCGCCAAAUGUGUGGUUUUAAAAGGCGACCAAAUGUCCAGGGUGGCUAUAGGCCAUACAGGUCCUGGGCUGAGACCCGUGGUCAGGGGCACUGACAUGAUUUGACAUGGCCAACCUGUGGAAUCAAAACCAGGAAUAUCUGGGAGUCCUUUCUUAGGAAGGAAUGAGUUGGAAAUCCAGGAUUACUUAGAGGAGAAACAGAGGAUGCUUUUCAUCUCUGGGUCAAUUCUACACUGGACUGAUCACAAUUUCGUAUCUCUGAAAUGAAAGCAAGCGGGUGCUUGAACACAAGCAAGCGGGUGCUUCCUUCCCCUGGUGCAGGAUCACUGUAACCCCCGAGGGUGUGGACUUCUCUCCAUGGCUCAGCCUGUCCUAUGCAUGGGGAACUGUCUCUGCUGAGUCAGGCUAGCAGGGGUCUGAGCUCUGGGGCCUGAGCCUUUUGCAGCUGAACAAGGGCAAGGGGAGGGCAGGGGUCAAAGUCUGGAUGUCCCCUUAAGGGGAAAGGAAAUGGGAGAGGAAAGGGCUCCUUAGUUUUGCAGACAAAGGUCAAACUAGAUCCAAGGGCUGGAAACUGGAAUGUGGCUUACUCAUGCCAGAGACAAGACAAGUUUUCCUUUUCCCAGUGAGGAAAUGGGACCCUUGUGACUGCUUCCCAGGAGCCCUGGGGGAGUCUCCACCCCGGCAAGAGUCCAAGUCACAACUGAGCGUGUUUCGAACACACGGCUCUUGGCCUGGCUGAGCCAGGGCAAUUAUGUACUGCUUACCCCACCUCCCACCACAAAGCCCAACCCCCUCCAGCUCCACACUGAGCUUUAAGCCAAACACGUUCCCAGCCCACCAUCUCCAAAACACACCUAGCUCUACAUGGAAUAGGUCCACUCUGAUUCGCAGCCCCCUUCCCAGCCCCAAGGGUCCUACAGCACACUUUUCCCAAUGUCCCUUCUCUCCACCAGACCUAUAGUCAAGAUGACAAUAUCCCCUUGGGGUAACCCUGGCCAUGUCCCAACCUGUUUUCAGACUCUUGGCUUUGGGGGCAUGGACUCAAGUUCCCCUCUCCGGUGACCACAGUGCCUUGAUUUGAAGUGAGCGUGAAACGAGAGGGGGUGGAUGGGACCUGCUCCUGAUGGCAGCCCUGGGGCAGUGCAGGCAAGUGUGUUGCUGCACAGCAGUGUUUAAUUUUAGGCCUUGCAGUGAUUUCUGUUCCAUGUCCAGACAAGAGGGUCUCUCUGGGGUUUCUCAUCUACCCUGUGAAGUGAAGAGCAUUUUAUGGUUGUGGCGGUGAGGAAGGGAUGGGGCAGAACUCCUUUGUCGAGGUGUAAUUUUAUGUAGAAAAAUGCCUUUUGUGGUACUUUAUGCCUGGCUCUGGGGAAACAGCCCUUCCUGGGGAGUGGUACAGCAUCAACACCCUUUCUGCAAUAGUUGCCAGAGUUUUGCUGAAGACCGAAAACAAAAAGGAAAGGAAAGGGAGGCAAGCUAGGUGUGAAGGGGUCUAGAAAAUAGAAAAGGGCAGUGGAAGAGGAGUAUGGCAAAGGAGAGGUCAUUCAAGGUGGAAAGAGCUGAAUUUUGGGAUUUAAUGUCCAGGGUGCUGGCCUUCCCAGCAGGAAUCCAGCUUUGAACUUCCCACUCAUUCUCUCCUCCCCUUCUUUUUCUGCCAGAUGCAUUUCUCAAUGGACAGCUUGCCUUUUUUGU
Long non-coding RNA from Alligator sinensis (Chinese alligator), 1978 nucleotides. RefSeq lists it as uncharacterized. The transcript has 3 exons. The record is from RefSeq and is a predicted model, not a curated record. Lineage: Eukaryota; Metazoa; Chordata; Crocodylia; Alligatoridae.